Molecule: transfer RNA, 69 nt
Filed under: Sphaerodactylus townsendi
Lineage: Eukaryota; Metazoa; Chordata; Lepidosauria; Squamata; Sphaerodactylidae
Description: tRNA-Ala
Rfam family: tRNA (bases 3-63)
About the family: Transfer RNA (tRNA) molecules are approximately 80 nucleotides in length. Their secondary structure includes four short double-helical elements and three loops (D, anti-codon, and T loops). Further hydrogen bonds mediate the characteristic L-shaped molecular structure. tRNAs have two regions of fundamental functional importance: the anti-codon, which is responsible for specific mRNA codon recognition, and the 3' end, to which the tRNAs corresponding amino acid is attached (by aminoacyl-tRNA synthetases). tRNAs cope with the degeneracy of the genetic code in two manners: having more than one tRNA (with a specific anti-codon) for a particular amino acid; and 'wobble' base-pairing, i.e. permitting non-standard base-pairing at the 3rd anti-codon position.
Source: RNAcentral
GCCAUGGCUCAGUGGCAGAGCAUCUGAUUUGCAUGCAGAAGGUCUCAGGUUCAAUCCCAGGUGUGUGUG